UUGCGUUAGGGAUUGUAGUGGAAAUCCUUUUUUGGUAAAGCCCCCCUUUCAGAGGGGAGCUUUACCAAAAAAGAUUGCAACGGAAAUCCCGACCCGUA
Molecule: non-coding RNA, 98 nt
Organism: Flavobacterium branchiophilum FL-15
Lineage: Bacteria; Pseudomonadati; Bacteroidota; Flavobacteriia; Flavobacteriales; Flavobacteriaceae
Source: Rfam